Molecule: long non-coding RNA, 896 nt
Filed under: Parus major (Great Tit)
Lineage: Eukaryota; Metazoa; Chordata; Aves; Passeriformes; Paridae
Description: lncRNA (ENSPMJG00000003024.1)
Source: RNAcentral
GAAGCCUGGGGUCAUGACAUGUCCAGGGCUCAGAGCCUGUCCAUGAACACAGUGCUGGGACUGUGAGAGCCUUGACUUUGGUUACUGGAAGAGCCAGAUGAGGAAAAAGGCAGCUUUUCCCCCACCCCCAGCAUCCAGGGAUACAUCCCUCAUGGUGCUGCCACCAGGAAGGGCACAGGAGCAAUGAGUGAGCUCUGGACCAUCUGCAUCCCCUCGGUGGAGACAGGCAGAGGAUGUUCUGAGACCCAAGAGGAUGGGGUGUGGCAGAGCCCUGGCCUGCUGCUGAUCCCAACAAACACAGCUACAUUGAUGGCAUCAUGGCUUGGUGCCUCCUGAAGCCGCCUGUGCCAGGCUCCCCAGAGCCCCACAUGUGGCAGGACCUGGCAAAGAGAGAGCCAUUCCUUGGCCCCUGCAGCAAGCACAGCUCAUUUGGGGUGUCUGGAAAACACAGACCUGCAAACCAUUGCUCUACACCCAAGUGCAUCGCACAGGCAUUUAAUUAGGUUUGUAGUCCCUGAGGAUUUAUGAGUCUCCACCUUCACUAAUUUGCCCCAAUGCAACAUCAGCUGGUGUUUGAGCACCUCCAGGAAGUAUUAACGUGGGGGUUCUGCUGCUGUGGCUGGGACUGCUCCUUACCCCAUCCCUGGGGUGUGCUGGCAGAUGUUCUGCAGAGUUUGCACCUCAAAGCUACUAUUGGAGAGAGGCUUCAUUAUGUGUGUGCUUUCCUGUGGGCCUGGCAGGAAAACAGAGACCAAAAGAAAGGAAAAUAAAAAAACCUCUAACCCUGAUGCUGGAAACAUCUGGAUUUUUAUAUGCGUUUAGCAUCUCAGGAGAGUUUGUUUUUGUUUGUCCUCCUUGCCAAUAAAGUCAAUGCUUUUCACUGAAAUAUAUGGGAA